ACGAACCGUGCGAACGUUGUUCGGAAUCACUGGGCUUAAAGGGCGCGUAGGCGGGUGUCCAAGUCAGGGGUGAAAUCCCACGGCUCAACCGUGGAAGUGCCUCUGAUACUGGCCAUCUCGAGGGAGGUAGGGGCGUGCGGAACUUCCGGUGGAGCGGUGAAAUGCGUAGAUAUCGGAAGGAACACCAGAGGCGAAGGCGGCUACCUGGACAAUUGCUGACGCUCAGGCACGAAAGCGUGGGGAGCAAAAGGGA
RNAcentral lists this ribosomal RNA (253 nucleotides) under uncultured prokaryote. Its description in RNAcentral is "partial 16S ribosomal RNA". It matches the Rfam family "Bacterial small subunit ribosomal RNA", at positions 525 to 777 of the family's 1533-position model. The record is from RNAcentral.